CCCCCGCCCGGCCUGAGAGGGGGCGGCGGCCCCCCCCCCCCCCCAAAAGCGCCAAGCGGUUGUCGAUCAACCAACAAGUAGAAGCCAGGGGUUGAAGGAAGAAAGGGGGGCUCUGGCCGCACAACGUCGCAUCGAAGAACAACGUCGGGGAUGACGAUGUUUCUUAUCUAGUUCAUUCUAUUUCUACACUAAAAGGUCAGUUCUCCAAUUGAACAAGAUCAUUCUGAUUUCUAAUCCUAUCCUCCCAAAUGCUUGCAACCCCUCCUCAGCUUGAUGUCAACUGAAAAUACUCUGUCUGAAUUCCAAACUUGGCUGUUUCAUGCUAGUCUGAAUGGGAAACCUACUUGUAUAAUUCCUCUUUCCAAGAUAAUCCAAGAUUUGGUAUUUGCCUGCUUACCUGAGACCAUCUCUGCUAGUCCUUGCCACCAGGAGAGAGCAGAAAACUUGUUUCAGUACUUGCACCUCACCUCUUAGUUUGACUUCCAACUUUAUCACUCACCACUGCCUGUGCAAGCCAAGAUCCUCAACUCCAGGCUGGAGAAGACCGUAAUGGCCAUGCCAUCACCUGAUCAUGAAAAGGAAAACAUCUCUUUCUUUUCUGGUCUUCUGUUUCCUCUGUGUUUCUGUUUGGUUAGAAAAAUUCCAAAGCCUCCAGGCACUACAAUAAAAAUGAAUAAAUACCAAC
Dermochelys coriacea (leatherback sea turtle) is the source of this 685-nucleotide long non-coding RNA. RefSeq lists it as uncharacterized. The record is from RefSeq and is a predicted model, not a curated record. The transcript has 5 exons. Lineage: Eukaryota; Metazoa; Chordata; Testudines; Dermochelyidae.